RNAcentral lists this ribosomal RNA (2094 nucleotides) under Triticum aestivum (bread wheat). RNAcentral's name for it is "partial small subunit ribosomal RNA". The stretch from base 1944 to 2078 matches the Rfam family "MIR1120/MIR1122 microRNA precursor family". The record is from RNAcentral. Lineage: Eukaryota; Viridiplantae; Streptophyta; Magnoliopsida; Poales; Poaceae.
AGCGGGGUUAUCUGGAGAAGAGCAUCGCAUUCCGCCCUUUUAAUGCCGUCAAAAUCAAGCACGAGCCCUUCGUUUCUUUGGUGCUCCCGUCCCGUCCCAUCCCCAUCUACCUACCGUGGACGGUGCCAGAAGAGGACCAGUCACAGCCUGCACUUGCACUGCACAUGAUCGCCUAUUUAAGCUUCUCCUGUUCUCGCCCACCCCGCUCCACCCCAUUCCCACUCUCUCCCAGCAGCGGCACGUCAUCAUCUUCCUCCCCCUCGCCGUCCGCGUGUACGUCCAACAGAGGCUGGGAACUUUAAAGCGGAACAGGGUUCAUGGAGGGUGGAGGCGCAAGAAAUGUUUCUGCAGCGGCAGCACAGACAAAGGGAAGUGCGGAUGAUGGCUCCUGCAAGCCACUGCCUCCUUGCUGUGUCAAGGCGCAGGCUGCUGCGCCGGAAUCCGAGGCCAAGUGCCACGCAACUGUGGUGUCCGGGUGGUUCACAGGAACCCGCUCACGCUCUGGUAAACCAAGCAAAGCGCAGUACUUCAACAAUCCAAUGUGGCCUGGGGAGGCUCAUUCGUUGAAAGUAGAGAAGAUUUUGUACCAGGGGAAAUCGCCAUACCAAGAAGUUUUAGUAUUCGAGUCUUCAACCUAUGGGAAUGUCCUUGUGCUCGAUGGAAUUGUUCAGCUGACUGACAAGGAUGAAUGUGCAUACCAGGAAAUGGUUACUCACCUUGCACUGUGCUCAAUUCCAUCUCCUAAAAAUGUUUUGGUUGUCGGGGGUGGUGAUGGUGGUGUACUACGAGAAAUAGCCAAGCAUGACUCAGUGGAGACUAUAGACAUAUGCGAGAUUGAUCAGCUAGUUAUUGAUGUUUGUAAAGAUUUUUUCCCACGUCUGUAUGUUGGAUAUAAAGACCCUCGUGUCCGACUUCAUGUUGGUGAUGCUGUGGAGUUCUUGAGAAAUUCUCCAGAAGGAAAAUACGAUGCCAUUAUUGUUGAUUCAUCAGACCCAAUUGGGCCAGCUCAGGAGCUUGUGGAGAAGCCCUUCUUUCAGACAAUUGCUAGGGCUUUAAAGCCUGGCGGUGUUCUUUCUAAUCUAGCUGAAAGUAUGUGGCUGCACACACAUCUAAUCCAGGAUAUGCUUUCUAUCUGUCGGGAGGUAUUCAAGGGUGGCGUGCACUAUGCCUGGGCGAGUGUUCCGACAUAUCCUAGUGGUGUCAUUGGAUUUUUGCUAUGCGCGAAGGACGGUCCACCGGUGGACUUCCUGACUCCUGUGAACCCAAUCGAGAAAAUUGAAGGAGCUACUAAAGAUGGACGAGAGAUGAGAUUUUACAAUUCAGAGAUUCAUAGGGCUGCUUUUAUUCUGCCAACGUUUGUAAAGAGGGAGCUGGAGGCAUAUAACACUUCCACUGAAAAGGAGAAACCGGAGAAGCCAGCAGCAAAACCAGUGAAGAUGAAGGUAAUGCGGGACAGCGCAAUUACCGCUUCCUAGACUGUGGGCAGAUGCCCAUGCUCGUAUGCUAUUCAUCUUCCCCGACGAGACCCGCCGCGCUGUACAUCCGCGUUCCAUGCCUGUCCUUUACUACCAGGUUUUAUUUCAGUAGUUACAUGAUUCUGUGGUGCUCUAGCAUAGUUGCGUGGCAGAACUGAGAGUAGAAUGUCACUGAGUGUGUAUGGUGUGUUAUAGUUGGUGAAUAAAGGAGCGAACAGAAGUGAAUGUGUGAUGUGUUACCCUGAUCUGUAAUAGUAUGAUGUUUCAUUGUUACGUGUGCUCUCGUGGUUCAAGUAGCAGGACCGGCUAUGUUAUGAGUUUUUGACAUAUCAACAUGUCUAUACACAUCCGAUUGAUAAAAAAAAAGAGAACAUCCCUCCAUUCCAAAAUAAGUGUCUUAACUUUGUACUAACUUUAGUACAAAGUUGUACUAAGGUUAAGACACUUAUUUUAAGACGGAGGGAGUAUAUACUACUCCCUCCGUCCAGAAAUAUUUGUCAUCAAAAUAGAUAAAAGGAGAUGUAUCUAGAUGUAUUUUAGUUCUAGAUAUAUCCUUUUUUAUCUAUUUUAAUGACAAAUAUUUUCGGACGGAGGGAGUAUAUAAGUAAAAGAGUGUGAC